AUUGAACGCUGGCGGCAGGCCUAACACAUGCAAGUCGAGCGGUAACAGAGAGAAGCUUGCUUCUCUGCUGACGAGCGGCGGACGGGUGAGUAAUACUUGGGAAUUUGCCUUUAGGCGGGGGACAACCACGGGAAACUGUGGCUAAUACCGCAUAAUGUCUACGGACCAAAGUGGGGGACCUUCGGGCCUCACACCUAAAGAUGAGCCCAAGCGGGAUUAGCUAGUUGGUGGGGUAAAGGCUCACCAAGGCGACGAUCCCUAGCUGUUCUGAGAGGAUGAUCAGCCACACUGGGACUGAGACACGGCCCAGACUCCUACGGGAGGCAGCAGUGGGGAAUAUUGCACAAUGGGGGAAACCCUGAUGCAGCCAUGCCGCGUGUGUGAAGAAGGCCUUCGGGUUGUAAAGCACUUUCAGCGACGAGGAAGGGUGUUGUGUUAAUAGCGCAGCGC
This 450-nucleotide ribosomal RNA is filed under the name Idiomarina loihiensis. RNAcentral describes it as "bacterial SSU rRNA". It matches the Rfam family "Bacterial small subunit ribosomal RNA", at positions 30 to 473 of the family's 1533-position model. The record is from RNAcentral. Lineage: Bacteria; Pseudomonadati; Pseudomonadota; Gammaproteobacteria; Alteromonadales; Idiomarinaceae.